GUGAAUCAUCAAAUUUUUGAACGCAAAUUGCGCUUCCUAGCAUCCCGGGAAGUAUGCCUGUUUGAGGGUCAGUAUUAACAAAAAAAUCGGUUUGGUUGCAAAUUGUGCCGUUUCCGGAGUUUGGGCUAUCUUAACUUUUUUGGUUAAGGGGCUUAAAAUUGACCUUUUUUGCGCAUUUUUAGACGUACAUAAAUUUUUUUUUUUUUUUGUAUAUUUUUUACGCAGAUCUUUUUUUAGAUGAGAU
This 244-nucleotide unclassified non-coding RNA is filed under the name Glomeraceae sp. RNAcentral describes it as "partial contains 5.8S ribosomal RNA and internal transcribed spacer 2". The stretch from base 1 to 71 matches the Rfam family "5.8S ribosomal RNA", at positions 84 to 154 of the family's 154-position model. The record is from RNAcentral. Lineage: Eukaryota; Fungi; Glomeromycota; Glomeromycetes; Glomerales; Glomeraceae.